GUUGCAGAGACGGUGCGAAUGCAGCAGUCGUGUCGAUGACGACCAAGGCCGAGGCGACAAGAAACAGAGUGGAAAUGAUCUUUGGCAUGGUGCGAAGAUUGAUUGGAGUACAGAAUGUUUCCGAAUUGUGAAUGAGUAGCCUUACUGUGUAGGUGAGGGAUGUUCUCGCUUGUACGUACCGGUAGGUAAAGGCAUACCGUAGGAGAUAUUGCUUUCAACGACAAAGCACUAACAAAAGCGCAUCGCAAUUACGGGACGGUACGGUACGGGAGGUGGUGGUGGGCGGAAAAGAAGUUACUUUAUCGAGAACUUUGAA
RNAcentral lists this non-coding RNA (316 nucleotides) under Pseudo-nitzschia pungens. The record is from RNAcentral. Lineage: Eukaryota; Bacillariophyta; Bacillariophyceae; Bacillariales; Bacillariaceae.